RNAcentral lists this ribosomal RNA (497 nucleotides) under uncultured bacterium. RNAcentral describes it as "partial 16S ribosomal RNA". It matches the Rfam family "Bacterial small subunit ribosomal RNA", at positions 28 to 507 of the family's 1533-position model. The record is from RNAcentral.
GAUGAACGCUGGCGGCGUGCCUAAUACAUGCAAGUCGAGCGAACAGACGAGGAGCUUGCUCCUCUGACGUUAGCGGCGGACGGGUGAGUAACACGUGGAUAACCUACCUAUAAGACUGGGAUAACUUCGGGAAACCGGAGCUAAUACCGGAUAAUAUAUUGAACCGCAUGGUUCAAUAGUGAAAGACGGUUUUGCUGUCACUUAUAUAUGUAUCCGCGCCGCAUUAGCUAGUUGGUAAGGUAACGGCUUACCAAGGCGACGAUGCGUAGCCGACCUGAGAGGGUGAUCGGCCACACUGGAACUGAGACACGGUCCAGACUCCUACGGGAGGCAGCAGUAGGGAAUCUUCCGCAAUGGGCGAAAGCCUGACGGAGCAACGCCGCGUGAGUGAUGAAGGUCUUCGGAUCGUAAAACUCUGUUAUUAGGGAAGAACAAAUGUGUAAGUAACUAUGCACGUCUUGACGGUACCUAAUCAGAAAGCCACGGCUAACUACGUG